GACGAACGAUGGCGGCGUGCUUAACACAUGCAAGUCGAACGAUGAAGCUGGAGCUUGCUCCGGUGGAUUAGUGGCGAACGGGUGAGUAACACGUGAGCAAGCUGCCCUUGACUCUGGGAUAACUGCGGGAAACUGUAGCUAAUUCCGGAUACGAGGCUCGAAGGAAUCAUAGGGUUUGGGAAGAAUUUCGGUCAAGGAUGAUCUCGCGGCCUAUCAGCUAGUUGGUGAGGUAAUGUCUCACCAAGGAGACGACAGGUAGCCGGCCUGCGAGGGGGACCGGCCACACUGGUACGGAGACACGGCCCAGAGUCGUACGGGAGGCAGCAUUGUGGAAUAUUGCACAAUUGGCGAAAGCCUGAUGCAGCAACGCCGCGUGAGGGAUUAAGUCCUUCGUGUUUUAAACCGCUUUUAGCAGGGAAGAAGCGAAAUUGACGGUACCUGCAGAAAAAGCACCGGCUAACUACGUGCCAGCAGCCGCGGUAA
RNAcentral lists this ribosomal RNA (483 nucleotides) under uncultured bacterium. RNAcentral's name for it is "partial 16S ribosomal RNA". It matches the Rfam family "Bacterial small subunit ribosomal RNA", at positions 28 to 523 of the family's 1533-position model. The record is from RNAcentral.